RNAcentral lists this ribosomal RNA (497 nucleotides) under uncultured bacterium. RNAcentral describes it as "partial 16S ribosomal RNA". It matches the Rfam family "Bacterial small subunit ribosomal RNA", at positions 28 to 507 of the family's 1533-position model. The record is from RNAcentral.
GACGAACGCUGGCGGCGUGCCUAAUACAUGCAAGUUGAGCGCUGAAGGUUGGUACUUGUACCCACUGGAUGAGCAGCGAACGGGUGAGUAACGCGUGGGGAAUCUGCCUUUGAGCGGGGGACAACAUUUGGAAACGAAUGCUAAUACCGCAUAAAAACUUUAAACACAAGUUUUAAGUUUGAAAGAUGCAAUUGCAUCACUCAAAGAUGAUCCCGCGUUGUAUUAGCUAGUUGGUGAGGUAAAGGCUCACCAAGGCGAUGAUACAUAGCCGACCUGAGAGGGUGAACGGCCAAAAUGGGACUGAGACACGGCCCAAACUCCUACGGGAGGCAGCAGGAGGGAAUCUUCGGCAAUGGACGAAAGGCUGACCGAGCAACGCCGCGUGAGUGAAGAAGGGUGUCGGAUCGUAAAACUCUGUUGGUAGAGAAGAACGUUGGUGAGAGUGGAAAGCUCAUCAAGUGACGGUAACUACCCAGAAAGGGACGGCUAACUACGUG